GCCGGUGUGGUGGAAUUGGCAGACGCGCGGGACUCAAAAUCCCGUUCUGGCAACAGAAUGCGGGUUCGACCCCCGCCACCGGCA
This 84-nucleotide transfer RNA is filed under the name Ruminococcus sp. Its description in RNAcentral is "tRNA-Leu". It matches the Rfam family "tRNA". From Rfam's summary of the family: Transfer RNA (tRNA) molecules are approximately 80 nucleotides in length. Their secondary structure includes four short double-helical elements and three loops (D, anti-codon, and T loops). The record is from RNAcentral. Lineage: Bacteria; Bacillati; Bacillota; Clostridia; Eubacteriales; Oscillospiraceae.